Molecule: long non-coding RNA, 1879 nt
Filed under: Hordeum vulgare
Lineage: Eukaryota; Viridiplantae; Streptophyta; Magnoliopsida; Poales; Poaceae
Description: long non-coding RNA (HVUL_LNC008868)
Source: RNAcentral
AUCUAACACUUCCAUCAAAAUAAAAAUCCACAUAAUGGUUUUAAAUGACACGUGAAAGGACCUUGAUGUGUGAGACCAACUGGUUACCCUUUUGACCUCAAACCAUCUAGCCCAUCACCCUCUUUCUUUUUUCACGUACAUGUGAGACCCACUGGUCAUGUCCUUCUUCGAUUGCGCAAGGAACGCAACCCUUAAUGCCGCUCCUCCUCCCUUCACCGCCCGCUAGCAAUCUGGCACAUAGGUUAGUGAUCCCACGUCAGACAAUAGUAAAUCAGCGGACUUCACUGCUAACGGCCACACUCACCACCCAAACCUUUGUAAGCACACUCGCCCUCCAAGCACCCACACCACAUCCCUCUUCAGCCUCCCGGAAGCCGACGGCAGUCAUGCUCACCCUCACAGAAGCACCUACCUUCUUGCCACCUGCUCUACCUUUCUCACUCCGACUCACUCAGCCAAAAGUCGUCGGAGACGAGGAUGAAGAACUCUGACCGCCUCAUCUCUCCUCCGUGAGCUCCGACACAGAAGCCCAGUGCAAGAAACUGCGAGCCCCAUCUCUUGAUUUAGACGCCCAACGCGAGAAACUGUGAGCAUUAUUGUUCGAUUCACUACCCCGUCAGUAUCGAGCAGUCCAUGGUUGUCCGCCCCCUCCCCACGCCCUCCUCCACGAGGCUAGAUCCUACUCGCAGAGGUCACCAGUAGAUGAGCCAGGAAUGAAGCCAAAACCCUGGGCCAAAUUUUUGUCCGACAACAAAGAAAAACUUUGGACCUUAUAACAACCCCAAAAAUACCUCGUAACAUUUCUAACAAAAUACCUCAGAUGAAAACAUAUAAAAUAAAGUUCAACUGCUUAACAAAACUAUAAUUAAAACUCAAUGCACACUGAUUCAAGAAAAUCCAUAAAACAUGACAGAAGUACAAAUACUAAUAACAGGAUACAAAAAUACCAAAUCAACUGAUUGCUUCAUUCAUCAGUGCCUCCCAUAACUUGAUCAACGCUAGAUGAACCAACACCUUCAAUGCAUUAUACAAGUAUAAUUCCAUAAGAAAAAGGCAUAAACAUAAUGUGAAACAAUUAUGAUUGAUACAAAUCUAAAACCUUACCACUUCGACGAGGUAAAAGCCCUUUGUGAGACCUAUAUGAUUGAAAGUGAUAUAUAAUAGCAUCAUCAUCAGUACUUUCAAAUAGAUCUCGCUCAAUAUAGCAAACCAUCCUGUAAUUCAGCCAAUCAUCUCUCAUCUUAUUCCUCAAUUUCUAUUUCUACAACGUGAAAUGAAAUAGGCAAAUACUCGCUCCGUCCCAUAAUAUAAGAGCGUUUUUACACUUGUAGUGUCGAAAAUACCGUGCAUAUACGACUGAACACACACACGUUUGAUUUUAGAACACAGUACAUAUACGACUUGAAUUCAACAAUACAUCGAUUUGAAUUCAACAAUACCGUGCAUAUACGACUGAACACACACACGUUUGAUUUUAGAACACAGUACAAGCAGUCCCUGAAAGUCCCUGGUCGGCUGGUCCUGUACAAGUGAAAAUAAUCGAAGAAAAUUACCAAGGUCACUACUCACUGGUAAGUCAGGGAAGUAGGGAACGACGCACGGCGGCGAACGGCGCACCGCGCACGGGAACAGUGGCGGAGACCGGGACAAGGGGUGCCGCCAGGGGUGGAGCCACGGACGGGCCUGCUGCCUGGGGGCUGGGGAAGUGGGGGAACGGCGGCGGUCGGUGGACGGCUCCACGGCGGCGGCGGCCUCCAGGAUGGUGGCAGCUGCAUCCAGGCUUUGAGCCUUUGAGGCUUUGACUGGGCUGAACCCCGGGCUCAUUAACAAAACUCUAAUACAUAUACUAGCUACGAAAAAAUUCCACGCCCCGGAGGUG